This 256-nucleotide ribosomal RNA is filed under the name uncultured bacterium. RNAcentral describes it as "partial 16S ribosomal RNA". It matches the Rfam family "Bacterial small subunit ribosomal RNA", at positions 524 to 776 of the family's 1533-position model. The record is from RNAcentral.
UACGUAGGAGGCAAGCGUUGUCCGGAGUUACUGGGCGUAAAGGGCCCGCAGGCGGUGGAGUAAGUUUGGAGUGACAGUUCCCAGCUUAACCGGGAAAGGACUUCGAAAACUGCUCGACUUUGAGGACUGGAGAGGAAGGCGGAAAUUCCGGGUGGAGCGGUGAAAUGCGUAGAGAUACCGGAGGAACACCGACGGCGAAGGCAGCCUUCUGGAAAGUACCUGACGCUGAGGGGCGAAAGCUAGGGGAGCGAACGGG